AGCAGCCGCGGUAAUUCCAGCUCCAAUAGCGUAUAUUAAAGUUGUUGCAGUUAAAAAGCUCGUAGUUGAAUUUCGGGAUCAAUAUGUUGGUCGUGCCUCGGUACGUACUAGCUUAUUGGUUUCUCCCUUCUGAAGAACCAUGAUGUCAUUUAUUUGGUGUCGUGGGGAAUCAGGACUGUUACUUUGAAAAAAUUAGAGUGUUUAAAGCAGGCUCACGCUUGAAUACAUUAGCAUGGAAUAAUGAAAUAGGACGUUUGAUUCUAUUUUGUUGGUUUCUAGGAUCGACGUAAUGAUUAAUAGGGAUAGUUGGGGGCAUUAGUAUUCAAUUGUCAGAGGUGAAAUUCUUGGAUUUAUUGAAGACUAACUACUGCGAAAGCAUUUGCCAAGGAUGUUUUCAUUAAUCAAGAACGAAAGUUAGGGGAUCGAAGACGAUCAGAUACCGUCGUAGUCUUAACCAUAAACUAUGCCGACUAGGGAUCGGAUGAUGUUAAUUUUUUUAAUGACUCAUUCGGCGCCUUAC
This 520-nucleotide unclassified non-coding RNA is filed under the name uncultured Glomus. RNAcentral describes it as "SSU rRNA". It matches the Rfam family "Eukaryotic small subunit ribosomal RNA", at positions 569 to 1091 of the family's 1831-position model. The record is from RNAcentral. Lineage: Eukaryota; Fungi; Glomeromycota; Glomeromycetes; Glomerales; Glomeraceae.